UGAGCAAUCUGCCCUUCUCAUCGGAAUAAGCGUUGGAAACGACGUCUAAUGCCGAAUACGACCUCCUUUCGCAUGAUCGGAGGUGGAAAGCUCCGGCGGAGAAGGAUGAGCUCGCGGCCUAUCAGCUAGUUGGUGUGGUAAUGGCCCACCAAGGCGACGACGGGUAGCCGGCCUGAGAGGGUGACCGGCCACACGUGGGACUGAGACACGGCCCAGACCUCCGUACGGGAGCAG
RNAcentral lists this ribosomal RNA (234 nucleotides) under uncultured bacterium. Its description in RNAcentral is "partial 16S ribosomal RNA". It matches the Rfam family "Bacterial small subunit ribosomal RNA", at positions 118 to 347 of the family's 1533-position model. The record is from RNAcentral.